UUUAGAGUUUGAAUUCAGGGCUCAGAUUAAACGCUGCCGGCCAGGCUUAACACAUUCAAGUCGAGCGGAAAACGAUGGAGCUUGCUCCAGGCGUCGACCGGCGGACGGGUGAGUAAUGCAUAGGAAUCUGCCCGGUAGUGGGGGAUAACCUGGGGAAACCCAGGCUAAUACCGCAUACGUCCUACGGGAGAAAGCAGGGGAUCUUCGGACCUUGCGCUAUCGGAUGAGCCUAUGUCGGAUUAGCUUGUUGGUGAGGUAAUGGCUCACCAAGGCGACGAUCCGUAGCUGGUCUGAGAGGAUGAUCGGCCACAUCGGGACUGAGACACGGCCCGAACUCCUACGGGAGGCAGCAGUGGGGAAUAUUGGACAAUGGGCGAAAGCCUGAUCCAGCCAUGCCGCGUGUGUGAAGAAGGCUUUCGGGUUGUAAAGCACUUUCAGUGAGGAAGAAGGCCUUGGGGCUAAUACCCCCGAGGAAGGACUACACUCACAGAAGAAGCACCGG
This 502-nucleotide ribosomal RNA is filed under the name Halomonas sp. V3-110. RNAcentral describes it as "bacterial SSU rRNA". It matches the Rfam family "Bacterial small subunit ribosomal RNA", at positions 1 to 496 of the family's 1533-position model. Lineage: Bacteria; Pseudomonadati; Pseudomonadota; Gammaproteobacteria; Oceanospirillales; Halomonadaceae. The record is from RNAcentral.